This 335-nucleotide ribosomal RNA is filed under the name uncultured Acholeplasma sp. Its description in RNAcentral is "bacterial SSU rRNA". It matches the Rfam family "Bacterial small subunit ribosomal RNA", at positions 1045 to 1382 of the family's 1533-position model. Lineage: Bacteria; Bacillati; Mycoplasmatota; Mollicutes; Acholeplasmatales; Acholeplasmataceae. The record is from RNAcentral.
AUGGUUGUCGUCAGCUCGUGUCGUGAGAUGUUCGGGUUAAGUCCCGCAACGAGCGCAACCCUUAUUGCUAGUUACCAUCAUUGAUUGGGGACUCUAGCGAGACUGCCAGUGAUAAACUGGAGGAAGGUGGGGAUGACGUCAAAUCAUCAUGCCCCUUAUGACCUGGGCUACAAACGUGAUACAAUGGCUGGAACAAAGGGAGGCGAAGGGGUGACCUGGAGCGAAACUCAAAAAACAGUCUCAGUUCGGAUUGAAGUCUGCAACUCGACUUCAUGAAGUCGGAAUCGCUAGUAAUCGCGGAUCAGAACGCCGCGGUGAAUACGUUCUCGGGGUUU